AUUGAACGCUGGCGGAAUGCUUUACACAUGCAAGUCGGACGGCAGCACGGACUUCGGUCUGGUGGCGAGUGGCGAACGGGUGAGUAAUGUAUCGGAACGUGCCCGGUCGUGGGGGAUAACGUAGUGAAAAUUACGCGAAUACCGUAUACGAUCUAUGGAUGAAAGCGGGGGAUCGCAAGACCUCGCGCGAUUGGAGCGGCCGAUAUCAGAUUAGGUAGUUGGUGGGGUAAAGGCCCACCAAGCCAACGAUCUGUAGCUGGUCUGAGAGGACGACCAGCCACACUGGAACUGAGACACGGUCCAGACUCCUACGGGAGGCAGCAGUGGGGAAUUUUGGACAAUGGGCGAAAGCCUGAUCCAGCCAUUCCGCGUGCAGGAUGAAGGCCCUCGGGUUGUAAACUGCUUUUGUACAGAGCGAAAAGGUUUCUACUAAUACUAGGAGCUCAUGACGGUACUGUAAGAAUAAGCACCGGCUAACUACGUGCCAGCAGCCGCGGUAA
This 500-nucleotide ribosomal RNA is filed under the name uncultured bacterium. Its description in RNAcentral is "partial 16S ribosomal RNA". It matches the Rfam family "Bacterial small subunit ribosomal RNA", at positions 30 to 523 of the family's 1533-position model. The record is from RNAcentral.